Long non-coding RNA from Mustela erminea (ermine), 461 nucleotides. RefSeq lists it as uncharacterized. The transcript has 3 exons. Lineage: Eukaryota; Metazoa; Chordata; Mammalia; Carnivora; Mustelidae. The record is from RefSeq and is a predicted model, not a curated record.
GGGGAGUAAAGACCGUGGUUCUGUGUGGUGAAGCUCGGUAGUGGUAAGACUCAGAUGCAUCUUCAGGCCCCCAGUGGCUUGGCUUUGGCUUAGGGAGGAAAUCAUCUGGCUGAGACGCUCACCGUGGGAACAUUUGCUUCUCCUCUAGAACCUGCUCUGAGCUCACCUUGUUCAAGAUCUCUAUGUGACCUUCUGAUCGGACCAAACGCACUCAAUGUUUUAUAACGAGGAAAAUCGGCAGAUUUUAUUUUUCGUCUCCACAAAAACCUUCGUGCUACUUAACGUGGUUGUCUCGGCUAAAUGGAAGACAGAGAGAAAAAAGAGAGAGUCUCCUGUCAUCAGUUACCUCGUGGACCCAUUUUGUCUCCAAUUACCUGUAUUUUGUAUUCAAGUUUCAGUGGAUUCCCACUGCCCUUCAUGAAAUGUUAAUUCUACCUUUGAAGACAAUAUUAUUAAAUCAC